This 1008-nucleotide ribosomal RNA is filed under the name Cordyceps ninchukispora. RNAcentral's name for it is "SSU rRNA". It matches the Rfam family "Eukaryotic small subunit ribosomal RNA", at positions 87 to 1106 of the family's 1831-position model. RNAcentral also lists the same sequence under 1 other name. The record is from RNAcentral. Lineage: Eukaryota; Fungi; Ascomycota; Sordariomycetes; Hypocreales; Cordycipitaceae.
CUGCGAAUGGCUCAUUAUAUAAGUUAUCGUUUAUUUGAUAGUACCUUACUACUUGGAUAACCGUGGUAAUUCUAGAGCUAAUACAUGCUAAAAAUCCCGACUUCGGAAGGGAUGUAUUUAUUAGAUUAAAAACCAAUGCCCUCUGGGCUCCUUGGUGAUUCAUGAUAACUCUUCGAAUCGCACGGCCUUGCGCCGGCGAUGGUUCAUUCAAAUUUCUUCCCUAUCAACUUUCGAUGUUUGGGUCUUGGCCAAACAUGGUCGCAACGGGUAACGGAGGGUUAGGGCUCGACCCCGGAGAAGGAGCCUGAGAAACGGCUACUACAUCCAAGGAAGGCAGCAGGCGCGCAAAUUACCCAAUCCCGAUUCGGGGAGGUAGUGACAAUAAAUACUGAUACAGGGCUCUUUUGGGUCUUGUAAUUGGAAUGAGUACAAUUUAAAUCCCUUAACGAGGAACAAUUGGAGGGCAAGUCUGGUGCCAGCAGCCGCGGUAAUUCCAGCUCCAAUAGCGUAUAUUAAAGUUGUUGUGGUUAAAAAGCUCGUAGUUGAACCUUGGGCCUGGCUGGCCGGUCCGCCUCACCGCGUGUACUGGUCCGGCCGGGCCUUUCCCUCUGUGGAACCCCAUGCCCUUCACUGGGUGUGGCGGGGAAACAGGACUUUUACUUUGAAAAAAUUAGAGUGCUCCAGGCAGGCCUAUGCUCGAAUACAUUAGCAUGGAAUAAUGAAAUAGGACGCGUGGUUCUAUUUUGUUGGUUUCUAGGACCGCCGUAAUGAUUAAUAGGGACAGUCGGGGGCAUCAGUAUUCAAUUGUCAGAGGUGAAAUUCUUGGAUUUAUUGAAGACUAACUACUGCGAAAGCAUUUGCCAAGGAUGUUUUCAUUAAUCAGGAACGAAAGUUAGGGGAUCGAAGACGAUCAGAUACCGUCGUAGUCUUAACCAUAAACUAUGCCGACUAGGGAUCGGACGAUGUUAUUUUUUGACGCGUUCGGCACCUUACGAGAAAUCAAAGUGC